RNA transcript from Etheostoma spectabile (orangethroat darter), 3504 nucleotides. It is a transcript of the gene named spondin 1b, with no coding region annotated. The record is from RefSeq and is a predicted model, not a curated record. The transcript has 17 exons. Lineage: Eukaryota; Metazoa; Chordata; Actinopteri; Perciformes; Percidae.
AUGGGAAUGUAUUUACAUGUGCUGUUUUUGCAGUACUAUUUUGUCUCGAGUUUCGUGUGCAACGCCGUCGCUUUCGUUGAGGAGCCCUCCGGAGGCAAGUCGGGCGGGUACUGUGGGCGAAUCAUCCGGGCGCAGACCCAGGGGACUCGGAAGGAUGGGCACCAUGAGUUCCGACUCAGAGUGGAGGGGGACCCGGAAAACUAUCAGCCGGGCAGCACCUACAGAGUGGUUCUCCUGGCAAUCAGCCCUGCUUACUUCAGAGGUUUCACUCUUAUCGCACUGAAGGAGGGCAGAGAGGGCACCACAGAGGACGACUACGCGGGCCAGUUCCAGAACAUCGAUAAAGAGGACACACAGUUUAUGACCAACUGUGCCCCUGCUGUGACGGAGAGCACACCUCGAAGACGCACUAGGAUACAGGUCUUUUGGACGGCGCCGCCUAUUGGGUCUGGCUGUUUAACACUAAAGGCCAGUAUUGUCCAGAAGAGAAUCAUUUAUUUCCAGGAUGAAGGCUCUCUCACUAUUCGACUGUGUGAGAAAGAGCGUGUGUUUGGUGAAGCCACAGAAGUUCCUGAUACGGAGUGCUGUGCCUGCGGAACAGCCAAGUACAGACUCACCUUCUAUGGCAACUGGUCAGAGAAAGUACAUCCCAAAGACUACCCAAGACGAGCGAACCACUGGUCGGCUCUGAUUGGUGCGUCUCAUACCAGAAGUUACGUGCUAUGGGAGUACGAGGGCUACGCCAGCGAGGGAGUCCGUCAGGUUGCUGAGUUUGGCUCCCCAAUCAGGAUGGAAGAAGAGAUUCGACAAAAGGGAGAUGAAGUACUGACUGUUAUAAAAACUAAAGCUCAGUGGCCGGCAUGGCAGCCGCUCAACCUGCGAGCAGCUCCAUCAGCAGAGUUUUCUGUGGACCGGACCCAUCACCUGAUGUCCUUCCUCACCAUGCUUGGGCCCAGCCCAGACUGGAAUGUGGGGCUGUCAGGAGAGGACCUUUGCACCAAGGAGUGUGGCUGGGUCCAAAGGCUGGACACAGACCUCAUUCCCUGGGAUGCAGGCACUGACAGUGGUGUCACAUAUGAGUCACCCAACAAGCCUACCAUUCCUCAAGAGAAGAUCCGACCCUUGACCAGUUUGGACCACCCCCAGAGCCCAUUCUAUGACCCAGAGGGUGGGGCCAUUACCCCUGUAGCCAAGCUGGUGGUGGAACGCAUCGCUAGAAAGGGAGAGCAGUGUAAUAUGGUCCCAGACACCAUAGAUGACAUUGUAGCAGAUAUUGGACAGGAGGAGAAGGAAGAAGAUGACACACCACAGACAUGUAUCUACUCAGGCUGGUCUCCCUGGUCAGCCUGUAGCAGCGCUACGUGUGAAAAAGGCCGCAGAAUGAGGCAGAGGAUGCUGAAGGCCCAGUUGGAUCCCAGCGUAACGUGUCCCCACACUCAAGAUUUUCAGCCCUGCAUGGGACCGGGAUGCAGUAUGGAGGAGACCUCAACUUGUAUGAUGUCGGAGUGGAUUAGCUGGUCUGCCUGCAGUGUGUCCUGUGGGAUGGGGAUGAGGUCUAGAGAGCGAUAUGUCAAACAGUAUCCUGAGGACGGCUUGCUCUGCCAGCUCCAAACUGAGGAGACAGAGAAGUGUGUUGUCAACGAUGAAUGCUCAUCAAGCACCUGUGUGGUGACUGAGUGGGCAGAGUGGGACCCUUGCAGCGUCACCUGCGGCUUGGGUAUGAGAAGACGUGAACGCAUGGUUAAGAUGCCUCCUACAGACGGGUCAAUAUGUAAGACAGAGGUGGCCGAAGUGGAGAAAUGUAUGAUGCCAGAAUGCCAUACCGUUCUCUGCAUGCUGUCUCCCUGGUCUGACUGGAGUGAGUGUAGUGUGACGUGUGGGCAGGGUUUGCAAACACGUCAGAGGAUGCUAAAGUCUGAUCCUGCAGGGUGCACUGAGGAGCUGGAGCAGACGGAGAAGUGCAUGCUGCCAGAGUGCUCCAUUGACUGCAUGGUUUCGGAGUGGUCCGAGUGGUCGCAGUGCAACAAGUCCUGUGGUAAAGGACACACCAUUCGAACCCGUAUGGUUAAACUGGAGCCACAGUUUGGGGGCAGUGUUUGUCCCGAGACCAUCCAGAGGAAGAAAUGCAAGGUCAGGAAGUGCAGAACAAAAAUGACGGAGGAGAGAGGAGGUGCAGGUGAAGGAGGAGGAAAGAGAAGUAGACGGGGUAAACAGGGAAGAGAUGCAGCGGCAGAGGAGCAGCCAGGUUGCAGGAUGCAGCCAUGGGCCAGCUGGACGGACUGUACCAAAAUAUGCGGAGGUGGGAUCCAGGAACGUUUCAUGAUGGUGAAGAAAAGAGCUAAAGGCACACUGAUGGGCAGCUGUAAAGAGCGGAAAGAGAUCCGUGCCUGUAACAUUCAUCCCUGCUAGGGGGUACUACUGAGUUAUAUUGGAGGGGAGGGAAGCAGCAGGUAAAAUAUGAGUUGUGAAAAUAUGGGUUUAUUUGAUAAGAUAAUAAUGGGGAAAGUUUUGUGGACAGGGAGGUAAGGUUAGGGAAGGGUGAGAUGAUGGGCUAGUCUGACCCUUUGUUUUUAUUUUUGGAACGUGUCUGCUUCGUAAUGCAUUUACUGACACAAAGAGGCCUUUUCCAACCAUCAUUAUUGUUACCAUUAACCAUUACUGUUGUAGCUAUAGUUCACUCUUGAAAUUACAUUAUUGCACUUAUACAACUGGAUCAACUUUCUUCCGUAUUCUUUUCAUCCUAAAGUGGCAAGCUGCUGCUGUUUAGAAUAAGUGUAAAAAUGCAGAGUAAUCAAGUAAGUAGUCAACUAAUCAGAGUCAAUGAAAAGGCAGACGGCUCAGCUUAAGAUGUGUAGGCUGGCGUCUCCCAGAGGUAAAGUGGUGUGUUUCCGCAUAUAUAUAAAACCAUCACUGUGCAGAAGGAUCUAUCAUAUACCUACAGUACCUAAAGAUAUGUACAACAUGUAGAUGGAGCCUGCAUGUUACAAUCUCUUAUGCCAUCUGUUGUGUGUCUGUCACACAAGAGACUUUUGUUCCUUAACUUACGUAACAUUUAAGUACCCCCUUAAAAAAGUACCAAGCCUGGGGUGAAGCUAAGGACAAACAGAAGUCCCAUCCCCUGUUAGAACACAAUUCAUUUUUAAAUCAUGGACAAACUUCCAACCCUAGUAUGGCAUUUUUAAAGUUUUCAAUUGACAAAAAAGCAACAAGAGCAAAAGUGAUAAACAGACUAAAAUGAAAGAUUUCUUUUCUAUUUUUUGCAAGACAUAGAUGCUCAUACAUGAAUUGUUUUAAAGACUUAUGGAUGUACUGUAUAACUACUAACCAACCCUUAAACCUUUAUAAAUGAAACUACUAUCUAAGUACUCAAAAAUACUUUCCCUAAUAAACAGAUUCAUUAAAAUGGUGAUGUUUAAUACUGUUAACAUGAGUCUUUUUAAACUGUACUGCUGUUUAUCUGUUGUUUCAGCUGAUGUAGCAUUACACCUCUUAUUUUAGCAUGUG